GACGAACGCUGGCGGCGUGCUUAACACAUGCAAGUCGAGCGGAAAGGCCCUUUCGGGGGUACUCGAGCGGCGAACGGGUGAGUAACACGUGAGUAAUCUGCCCUUGGCUUUGGGAUAACCACCGGAAACGGUGGCUAAUACCGGAUAUGACGCGCUCCGGCAUCGGGGUGUGUGGAAAGUUUUUUCGGCCAGGGAUGUGCUCGCGGCCUAUCAGCUUGUUGGUGGGGUAAUGGCCUACCAAGGCUUCGACGGGUAGCCGGCCUGAGAGGGUGGCCGGCCACACUGGGACUGAGAAACGGCCCAGACUCCUACGGGGGGCAGCAGUGGGGAAUAUUGGACAAUGGGCGGAAGCCUGAUCCAGCAACGCCGCGUGAGGGAUGACGGCCUUCGGGUUGUAAACCUCUUUCAGUACCGACGAAGCGCCGAUGAUGGUGGUGACGGUAGGUACAGAAGAAGCACCGGCCAACUACGUGCCAGCCGCCGCGGUAA
Molecule: ribosomal RNA, 489 nt
Filed under: uncultured bacterium
Lineage: Bacteria
Description: partial 16S ribosomal RNA
Rfam family: Bacterial small subunit ribosomal RNA
Source: RNAcentral